Molecule: ribosomal RNA, 511 nt
Filed under: Thermomyces lanuginosus
Lineage: Eukaryota; Fungi; Ascomycota; Eurotiomycetes; Eurotiales; Trichocomaceae
Description: eukaryotic LSU rRNA
Rfam family: 5.8S ribosomal RNA (bases 180-333)
Source: RNAcentral
CUCCCACCCGUGUCUACCACACCUAGUGUUGCUUUGGCGGGCCCACUCCUCCGGUGUUCCGCCGGGGGGGUCGUCCCGGGGCGCGGUGUGCCCCCGGGGCCCGUGCCCGCCAGAGGCACUCACUGUGAACGCUUUUGUGAAUGCGAGGAUUGUCUGAGUGACGAAAUGCAAUCGUUCAAAACUUUCAACAAUGGAUCUCUUGGUUCCGGCAUCGAUGAAGAACGCAGCGAAAUGCGAUAAGUAAUGUGAAUUGCAGAAUUCCGUGAAUCAUCGAAUCUUUGAACGCACAUUGCGCCCUCUGGUAUUCCGGGGGGCAUGCCUGUCCGAGCGUCAUUGCGAACCCUCAAGCACGGCUUGUGUGUUGGGCCGCCGUCCCCUCGUUUGGAGGGGACGGGCCUGAAAGGCAGCGGCGGCGUCGCGUCCGGUCCUCGAGCGUAUGGGGCUCUGUCACGCGCUCAAGGAGGGGUCCGGCCGGGGCCAUAGCCUCUGAAGGUCAAUUCUUCCAAGGUUG